Long non-coding RNA from Achroia grisella, 343 nucleotides. RefSeq lists it as uncharacterized. The record is from RefSeq and is a predicted model, not a curated record. NCBI's taxonomy places the organism in Eukaryota, Metazoa, Arthropoda, Insecta, Lepidoptera, Pyralidae. The transcript has 3 exons.
UACUCUGCCUUGUCAACGAGUCUGUGUUGUGGUCAGAAUAAAGCAUUAUUUAUUAUACGGUAGUGGUAUAUAUUUUGUUAAUUAUUGCUUAAAGGAAAGAUUAGAAAUCUGCGAUAGUAAUAAUCUAAUGCUUACAGAGUUGUUUUUUGUUAUUUUCAAUAUCGGCACAAAGUAAACAAGAAUUAAAGCUUCACCGGACUAUAGAGGGCGAGUGCAGAUGGCACUCCAAACUCGCAAAAGGAUUUAUGGAGCGGCUGAAGGAUCUCUUGGUAAGCACUGACGUUCCUGGACUGCUACUCCGCCACCGCAACUUCUGGAGCAAGGACUCCAGGAUCCCCACGAG